RNAcentral lists this ribosomal RNA (868 nucleotides) under uncultured bacterium. RNAcentral describes it as "bacterial SSU rRNA". It matches the Rfam family "Bacterial small subunit ribosomal RNA", at positions 8 to 850 of the family's 1533-position model. The record is from RNAcentral.
AGAGUUUGAUCAUGGCUCAGAGUGAACGCUAGCGGUGUGCUUAACACAUGCAAGUCGAGCGAGGGCAGGUCUUCGGAUCUGACCCGAGCGGCGCACGGGUGCGUAACACGUGGGUAAUCUACCUUAGAGUGGGGGAUAACCCGCCGAAAGGCGGACUAAUACCGCAUAACAUCCCUUUAACGACGGUUAGGGGGAUCAAAGACGGGGAUCCGCAAGGACCCGUCACUCUAAGAUGAGCCCGCGGCCCAUCAGCUUGUUGGCGGGGUAAUGGCCCACCAAGGCGACGACGGGUAGCCGGCCUGAGAGGGUGAUCGGCCACACUGGAACUGAGACACGGUCCAGACUCCUACGGGAGGCAGCAGUGGGGAAUAUUGCGCAAUGGGGGAAACCCCGACGCAGCAACACCGCGUGGAGGAAGAAGGCCUUCGGGUUGUAAACUCCUGUCAGUUGGGAAAAAGGUCCGGGAGGUGAACAAUCUUCCGGGUUUGAUUGUACCAGCAGAGGAAGCCCCGGCUAACUACGUGCCAGCAGCCGCGGUAAAACGUAGGGGGCCAGCGUUACUCGGAAUUACUGGGCGUAAAGGGUGCGUAGGCGGCAUGGCAAGUCUUUGGUGAAAUCCCUUGGCUUAACCAAGGAAGCGCCGGAGAUACUGCUUUGCUUGAGUCCGGUAGAGGGAAGUGGAAUUCCCGGUGUAGCGGUGAAAUGCGUAGAUAUCGGGAGGAACACUCAUGGCGAAGGCAGCUUUCUGGACCGGCACUGACGCUGAUGCACGAAAGCGUGGGUAGCAAACAGGAUUAGAUACCCUGGUAGUCCACGCCCUAAACGAUGGGUACUUGGUGUCGCGGGUAUCGACUCCCGCGGUGCCGGA